GAUGAACGCUGGCGGCGUGCCUAAUACAUGCAAGUCGAGCGAACGGACGAGAAGCUUGCUUCUCUGAUGUUAGCGGCGGACGGGUGAGUAACACGUGGAUAACCUACCUAUAAGACUGGGAUAACUUCGGGACACCGGAGCUAAUACCGGAUAAUAUUUUGCACCGCAUGGUUCAAAAGUGAAAGACGGUCUUGCUGUCACUUCUCGAUGGAUCCGCGCUGCAUUAGCUAGUUGGUAAGGUAACGGCUUACCAAGGCAACGAUGCAUAGCCGACCUGAGAGAGUGAUCGGCGACACUGGAACUGAGACACGGUCCAGACUCCUACGGGAGGCACCAGUAGGGAAUCUGCCGCAAUGGGCGAAAGCCUGACGGAGCAACGCCGCGUGAGUGAUGAAGGUCUUCGGAUCGUAAAACUCUGUUAUUAGGGAAGAACAUAUUUGUAAGUAACUGUGCACAUCUUGACGGUACCUAAUCAGAAAGCCACGGCUAACUACGUG
RNAcentral lists this ribosomal RNA (497 nucleotides) under uncultured bacterium. RNAcentral's name for it is "partial 16S ribosomal RNA". It matches the Rfam family "Bacterial small subunit ribosomal RNA", at positions 28 to 507 of the family's 1533-position model. The record is from RNAcentral.